Molecule: ribosomal RNA, 555 nt
Filed under: uncultured Bacteroidota bacterium
Lineage: Bacteria; Pseudomonadati; Bacteroidota
Description: SSU rRNA
Rfam family: Bacterial small subunit ribosomal RNA
Source: RNAcentral
CAGUUAGUUGGCGAGGUAACGGCUCACCAAGACCACGAUGACUAGGGGAUCUGAGAGGAUGACCCCCCACACUGGUACUGAGACACGGACCAGACUCCUACGGGAGGCAGCAGUAAGGAAUAUUGGUCAAUGGAGGCAACUCUGAACCAGCCAUGCCGCGUGCAGGAAGACAGCCCUCUGGGUCGUAAACUGCUUUUAUUCGGGAAUAAACCUACUUACGUGUAAGUAGCUGAAUGUACCGAAGGAAUAAGGAUCGGCUAACUCCGUGCCAGCAGCCGCGGUAAUACGGAGGAUCCAAGCGUUAUCCGGAUUUAUUGGGUUUAAAGGGUGCGUAGGCGGCUUAUUAAGUCAGGGGUGAAAGACGGUGGCUCAACCAUCGCAGUGCCCUUGAUACUGAUGAGCUUGAAUACACUAGAGGUAGGCGGAAUGUGACAAGUAGCGGUGAAAUGCAUAGAUAUGUCACAGAACACCGAUUGCGAAGGCAGCUUACUAUGGUGUUAUUGACGCUGAGGCACGAAAGCGUGGGGAUCAAACAGGAUUAGAUACCCUGGUAGU